ACUUUACUUGUUGUGGUUUAACUAAAAACAUAGUUUUUUUUUUUAUUUACAAAUGAAUAUAUUUUGUAUAUUUGCUUUUUUGUUGUUGAUAUAAUUUUAAAAUUGUGUUAGGACUGUUUUUGUUAAAUAUACAUGAUAUGAAGGUCAACAACAAAUGAAAUAAUUAAUGAUAUUAGGAAAAUGAAUUCUUAUACCUGCCGUGUUCUUCUUGUUGUCAAAGAGAGAAGAGGAAAAGGAAAAUGAGAGAGGAGAGACAGUUGAGAGAAUGAGAGAGAGAUUUUUUUUUUUUGAAAGAGAGAGAAAGAGAGAGAAUGAGAGAGUAUUAAAUUAUGAAGGAGUAGUGAAUGACAAUAUAAGAGUAUUUGAAAUUUGAAAUUGAAAAUUCGCCUCCAAUUGAUUGUAGAUCUGACAUUAGAUUAUAUCUUUUUUGUACAAAAGAAAACUUUUUUCGUUUUCCGUGUCAACCAAAAUCGGAUUUAUUUAGUUGGCAUCAAAUGUAAAUGACUUUAUGAAGAGCAAAUGAACUAAACUAUUAGUUAUUUGUAGUUACAUGACAUCAUCUUAGUUAAUUGUGGUAAUUUGGUUGAAUAAAGUAAGUUAAAGACAGAUUUUACCCUUACUUUGGUGAUUUGUCAAUUAACCAGACUGGGGCAUUAAUAGGAUUUCCACAACAUCUUCUCUUCUUAUAUCAAGAGAGAUUUUUAACUGCUUAUUGACUCAAGCUAUAUAUGCAUGUAUGUUUGAAGGUG
This 749-nucleotide long non-coding RNA is filed under the name Medicago truncatula (barrel medic). Its description in RNAcentral is "long non-coding RNA (MTRU_LNC007842)". The record is from RNAcentral. Lineage: Eukaryota; Viridiplantae; Streptophyta; Magnoliopsida; Fabales; Fabaceae.